UACAGUAGCUGAGUUACUGUGCUGUUGUGAUCAUUUCCAUCUGACUGGGGACUUCCUCCAAUCAACGUCUUAUUGUAGGACUCUUCCCCUUAUCUCCUGUGAUGCGCCUCUAGAUUAUUGCCUCUGGAAUCUAUCUACUUUAGAUUUACAUCACUAUAUGGCUAUUGGAUUAGCUGGCUCUCUCUCAACCAGUGAAAUGGCCUCUCCCUCUGAAGAGUCUCUGUCCUUGGCUUUUCUUUGGUAGCUAACUCAGCCGUCAAUCGAGAAGAGCCCCUGACAUCCUCACACAGGACAAGGAAGGAACUGGAGCCAAGCAGUCUCAUUCCUCACCCCCACCAUGCCCAAAGCGGAGCAGGAACUUAACUCACAGGAUGGAAACGUAUUAUGUGCUUAGACUACAGAGAAGAUGUGAAAUCUUGGAGCAAUAUGAAGUGGGAUUUCUGCUGGUCGGGAUGCAGGAAACAAAGGGGAACCUGCAACUCUUUAAAAAAUGUUGUUAACAAAGAUAAUAUGUUGAUAAGAUAAUAUGUUGAAACCCCCAUCACACUAAGUUCUGAGGAGAACUCAUGCGGUGCUAUGGAGCUUUGAAUUCCACGCUCCUGAAAGUAACAAAAACAG
Molecule: long non-coding RNA, 618 nt
Organism: Oncorhynchus kisutch (coho salmon)
Lineage: Eukaryota; Metazoa; Chordata; Actinopteri; Salmoniformes; Salmonidae
Exons: 2
Source: RefSeq, a predicted model, not a curated record